AUUAGUUUGUUGGGGGGGUAACGGCCCACCAAGACUACGAUGGAUAGGGGUUCUGAGAGGAAGGUCCCCCACAUUGGAACUGAGACACGGUCCAAACUCCUACGGGAGGCAGCAGUGAGGAAUAUUGGUCAAUGGACGCGAGUCUGAACCAGCCAAGUAGCGUGAAGGAUGACUGCCCUAUGGGUUGUAAACUUCUUUUAUAUGGGAAUAAAGUUGUCCACGUGUGGAUUUUUGUAUGUACCAUAUGAAUAAGGAUCGGCUAACUCCGUGCCAGCAGCCGCGGUAAUACGGAGGAUCCGAGCGUUAUCCGGAUUUAUUGGGUUUAAAGGGAGCGUAGGCGGAUUGUUAAGUCAGUUGUGAAAGUUUGCGGCUCAACCGUAAAAUUGCAGUUGAUACUGGCAGUCUUGAGUGCAGUAGAGGUGGGCGGAAUUCGUGGUGUAGCGGUGAAAUGCUUAGAUAUCACGAA
This 466-nucleotide ribosomal RNA is filed under the name uncultured bacterium. RNAcentral describes it as "bacterial SSU rRNA". It matches the Rfam family "Bacterial small subunit ribosomal RNA", at positions 240 to 703 of the family's 1533-position model. The record is from RNAcentral.